This 500-nucleotide ribosomal RNA is filed under the name uncultured bacterium. RNAcentral's name for it is "partial 16S ribosomal RNA". It matches the Rfam family "Bacterial small subunit ribosomal RNA", at positions 30 to 523 of the family's 1533-position model. The record is from RNAcentral.
AUUGAACGCUGGCGGAAUGCUUUACACAUGCAAGUCGAACGGCAGCACGGACUUCGGUCUGGUGGCGAGUGGCGAACGGGUGAGUAACAUAUCGGAACGUGUCCAAUAAUGGGGGAUAACUAAUCGAAAGGUUGGCUAAUACCGCAUACGCCCUACGGGGGAAAGCUAGGGACCUUCGGGCCUGGCGUUAAUGGAGCGGCCGAUAUCUGAUUAGCUAGUUGGUGGGGUAAAGGCCCACCAAGGCGACGAUCAGUAGCUGGUCUGAGAGGACGAACAGCCACACUGGAACUGAGACACGGUCCAGACUCCUACGGGAGGCAGCAGUGGGGAAUUUUGGACAAUGGGCGCAAGCCUGAUCCAGCCAUUCCGCGUGAGUGAAGAAGGCCUUCGGGUUGUAAAGCUCUUUCGCAAGGGAAGAAAACUUAGCCUCUAACAUAGGCUGAGGUUGACGGUACCUUGAUAAGAAGCACCGGCUAACUACGUGCCAGCCGCCGCGGUAA